GGGCCCGCACAAGCGGUGGAGCAUGUGGUUUAAUUCGAUGAUACGCGAGGAACCUUACCAGGGUUUAAAUGUAAGUUGCAUGAUUCAGAAAUGAAUCUUUCUUCGGACUACUUACAAGGUGCUGCAUGGUUGUCGUCAGCUCGUGCCGUGAGGUGUCAGGUUAAGUCCUAUAACGAGCGCAACCCCUAUCGUUAGUUGCCAUCAAGUAAAGUUGGGAACUCUAGCGAAACUGCCGGUGCAAACCGUGAGGAAGGUGGGGAUGACGUCAAAUCAUCACGGCCCUUACGUUCUGGGCUACACACGUGCUACAAUGGCCGGUACAGAAAGCAGCCACUAUGCGAAUAGGAGCUAAUCUUUAAAACCGGUCUCAGUUCGGAUCGCAGUCUGCAACUCGACUGCGUGAAGCUGGAAUC
RNAcentral lists this ribosomal RNA (413 nucleotides) under uncultured bacterium. Its description in RNAcentral is "bacterial SSU rRNA". It matches the Rfam family "Bacterial small subunit ribosomal RNA", at positions 917 to 1333 of the family's 1533-position model. The record is from RNAcentral.